CUCUGGUUCAUACGGCAGCAGCGUCACGUGCACCACCUUUACUCCCAAAGUUCUCCAUCGAAAGAAGGAACCCGGCCAACACUCGUCAAAGGGGAGAAAUCUGCAGUGCAGAUACUCAGUAGGGGGCCCAGAGGUCUCCCAGAUGGUCCUCAGUGGAGCAAGGAGGUCCAAGGACGCUAUGGCAAACCAUCGGGUGAACAAAGUCUCUAUACCCAACCAUCAGCUGGGCAGGACCUUUUGGCCCACUGCAAAGAGAGAGAAACAUCUGGAAAGGAGGAACAUGGCAGCCCCCUGAUGGAAUUGAGUAAUAGAGUAAAACAGCCAGCGUGGAAAUACUGGCACUAUGGGGAAUGAAGAGUUAUGGUCCACACAGCCCAGCAUUCCUCUUGACUGAAGCAUGGUGGUGUAAUGAAAAGAACACAGACUUUAGGAGUCCAAAGCCUGGGAUCCAAUCCCAGUUUGACCCCUGAUGGAGAAACUGAGGUUCAGAGGAAGGAGGGUCAUGCUUUCAUCAAAGUCACAGCAAAUAAGGUAAAGCCAGGAUUUGAACCUCAAACCCAGUAAAAUGAUUUCCACUCUCUGUACAUCAGUAUUAUGAAGUACAAGGUCACUGACUCAAUCCCAGAAAAGUCAAACAACAGAAGAGGAACCUCUUUAUAUGGCUAGUUGAGAAGUUUACCAGAACCUCUAAAACUGAGACCGAAAUUAUGGAGCAGAAAAACAGAGGAAAAU
Bubalus bubalis (water buffalo) is the source of this 732-nucleotide long non-coding RNA. RefSeq lists it as uncharacterized. The transcript is spliced from 5 exons. Lineage: Eukaryota; Metazoa; Chordata; Mammalia; Artiodactyla; Bovidae. The record is from RefSeq and is a predicted model, not a curated record.